AUUGAACGCUGGCGGCAGGCCUAACACAUGCAAGUCGAACGAGUGGCGGACGGGUGAGUAAUGUCUGGGAAACUGCCCGAUGGAGGGGGAUAACUACUGGAAACGGUAGCUAAUCCCGCAUACCAUCGGAUGUGCCCAGAUUGGAUUAGCUUGUAGGUGAGGUAACGGCUCACCUAGGCGACGAUCCCUAGCUGGUCUGAGAUGAUGACCAGCGAGAAUGGAACGGAGACACGGUGCAGACUCCGACGGGAGGCAGCAGUGGGGAAUAUUGAACAAGGGGCGCGAGCCUGAUGCAGCCAUGCCGAGGGUAUGAAGAAGGCCUUCGGGUUGUAAAGUACUUUCAGCGGGGAGGCGUUACCCGCAGAAGAAGCACCGGCUAACGCCGUGCCAGCCGCCGCGGUAAUAC
RNAcentral lists this ribosomal RNA (406 nucleotides) under uncultured bacterium. Its description in RNAcentral is "partial 16S ribosomal RNA". It matches the Rfam family "Bacterial small subunit ribosomal RNA", at positions 29 to 526 of the family's 1533-position model. The record is from RNAcentral.